AAAGGCUNACUGCUAAUCGUACGACUAAUUUUAUUUUAUUACACUAGAAUGUAAUUAGUAGUGGUGUACAGGUGAGUAAAAGAUAUUAUAGCCGCCUUGGAGUAAGGAAUAAAAUUCCUUAUAUUAAUAAAGAAACUAGUAGAGAAUCGCUCUUAGAAGUAUAUAUAUAUCUCGUGUAGUAGUAGUUAAGGUAAUUGCUUAACUAGCUUAAUACACGUAGUCGUAACUGGAAGGUUGAUCGAUCACAGUGUGGCCUGCAGAAAGCCCACGAUUAUAUUACAGCAGUGAGGAAUAUUGGUCAAUAGCCUAACGGCUGAACCAGCAACUUGGAGGAAUGUAUAGCUAAAGCUAAAUGUAUUUUGUAUAAAAUACAGAUUCGAUUUAUUCGUAUAAAGUUCUAGAUAGAAUUAUGAUAAUGACAUUAUCUAUCUAUAAGUCUUGACCAACAUGCGUGCCAGCAGUCGCGGCAAGACGCUAAAGACUAGUGUUAUUCAUCUUUAAUAGGUUUAAAGGGUACCUAGACGGUAAAUUAAGCCUUAAUCGGAACUAAUUUAACUAGAGUUAGAUGUAAGGGUGCAUUAACGUACUAUUGAGUGUAGAGAUGAAAUUCUAUGAUACCAGAUGAUUGGCACGGGUUUAGGCGAAAGCAUCACCUUAUGUAAUAACUGACGUUGAGGGACGAAGGCUUUGUGUCGCGAACAGGAUUAGAUACCCUAGUAGUCUUAGCAGAAAAUGAUGAAUGUCAUAGGUUAAAUAUUAUUUAGUCUAUAAAUGAAAGUGUAAGCAUUCCACCUCAAGAGUAAUUUGGCAACAUUGGAAUUGAAAUCAUUAGACCGUUUCUGAAACCAGUAGUGAAGUAUGUUGUUUAAUUAGAUGAUACACAAAAAACCUUACCACAAUUUGAAUAUUUUACAAGCGUUGCACGGCUGUCUUCAGUUAAUGUCGUGAGAUUAUGGUUAGUUCCAUAAAUUAACGUAAACCCUUACUUUAUUUUAUUUAAUAUAAAGUUGUUCGCCGCUUUUUUGGUUAGAUAAAAGGGAGUAGAAAAGUCAUCAGGGCCUUAAUAUUGUGGGUAAGAACCUGCCCCUAAAAA
RNAcentral lists this ribosomal RNA (1093 nucleotides) under Leptogium pirireisii. RNAcentral describes it as "SSU rRNA". It matches the Rfam family "Bacterial small subunit ribosomal RNA", at positions 42 to 1234 of the family's 1533-position model. Lineage: Eukaryota; Fungi; Ascomycota; Lecanoromycetes; Peltigerales; Collemataceae. The record is from RNAcentral.